This 450-nucleotide ribosomal RNA is filed under the name uncultured bacterium. RNAcentral's name for it is "bacterial SSU rRNA". It matches the Rfam family "Bacterial small subunit ribosomal RNA", at positions 354 to 796 of the family's 1533-position model. The record is from RNAcentral.
GUGGGGAAUAUUGGACAAUGGGCGAAAGCCUGAUCCAGCCAUGCCGCGUGUGUGAAGAAGGUCUUCGGAUUGUAAAGCACUUUAAGUUGGGAGGAAGGGCAGUAAGUUAAUACCUUGCUGUUUUGACGUUACCGACAGAAUAAGCACCGGCUAACUUCGUGCCAGCAGCCGCGGUAAUACGAAGGGUGCAAGCGUUAAUCGGAAUUACUGGGCGUAAAGCGCGCGUAGGUGGUUUUGUAAGUUGGAGGUGAAAUCCCCGGGCUCAACCUGGGAACUGCCUCAAAAACUGCAUGACUAGAGUACGGUAGAGGGUAGUGGAAUUUCCUGUGUAGCGGUGAAAUGCGUAGAUAUAGGAAGGAACACCAGUGGCGAAGGCGACUACCUGGACUGAUACUGACACUGAGGUGCGAAAGCGUGGGGAGCAAACAGGAUUAGAUACCCCUGUAGUCC